CAGCAGCCGCGGGAAUACGUAGGUGGCAAGCGUUGUCCGGAAUUAUUGGGCGUAAAGGGCUCGCAGGCGGUUUCUUAAGUCUGAUGUGAAAGCCCCCGGCUCAACCGGGGAGGGUCAUUGGAAACUGGGAAACUUGAGUGCAGAAGAGGAGAGUGGAAUUCCACGUGUAGCGGUGAAAAGCGUAGAGAUGUGGAGGAACACCAGUGGCGAAGGCGACUCUCUGGUCUGUAACUGACGCUGAGGAGCGAAAGCGUGGGGAGCGAACAGGAUUAGAUACCCCUGUAGUCCCUGUCUCUUAUAA
RNAcentral lists this ribosomal RNA (301 nucleotides) under uncultured bacterium. Its description in RNAcentral is "partial 16S ribosomal RNA". It matches the Rfam family "Bacterial small subunit ribosomal RNA", at positions 509 to 809 of the family's 1533-position model. The record is from RNAcentral.